UAAUCAUGAAUCUGCUUUCUUUACUAUUUCUAAGUUUUAAUUUUCAGUAUUCAAUGGUUAUGUAUAUGACAAUCUGCAUGAUGUGGGUAGCCUUUUUUUCUCCAAAACCUUAAUCUUACAGGUUACAUUUAAAGACUUUUUCUUCGAAGGAUAGGGUUGCCAUCAUUGCUCUAGCCCCCUCCUCCCCCACACACACGCGCACAUAUAUAUAUGUGUGUGUGUGUGUAAAGAAAAUUACUCUGUUUCUUGUUUCCUAACUCAAGUAAUGUUGCGAUUUGCUAUUUCUUGGUUUUAGUUCCA
Long non-coding RNA from Vigna radiata var. radiata (mung bean), 300 nucleotides. RefSeq lists it as uncharacterized. The transcript is spliced from 2 exons. The record is from RefSeq and is a predicted model, not a curated record. Lineage: Eukaryota; Viridiplantae; Streptophyta; Magnoliopsida; Fabales; Fabaceae.